This 114-nucleotide ribosomal RNA is filed under the name Saimiri boliviensis boliviensis (Bolivian squirrel monkey). Lineage: Eukaryota; Metazoa; Chordata; Mammalia; Primates; Cebidae. The record is from RNAcentral.
UUGUUCUGACAGCUCCCAGACACCAUAAAAUCCUGAGGGCUCCCCAGCCUGGAAGCUAAGCAGAGUCAGACCUGGCUUGAGCUUAGAUGGGUAACCUAGUGGAAAGACUGGGCC